GGGACACGUGGUAUCCUGUCUGAAUAUGGGGGGACCAUCCUCCAAGGCUAAAUACUCCUGACUGACCGAUAGUGAACCAGUACCGUGAGGGAAAGGCGAAAAGAACCCCGGCGAGGGGAGUGAAAAAGAACCUGAAACCGUGUACGUACAAGCAGUGGGAGCACGCUUAGGCGUGUGACUGCGUACCUUUUGUAUAAUGGGUCAGCGACUUAUAUUCUGUAGCAAGGUUAACCGAAUAGGGGAGCCGAAGGGAAACCGAGUCUUAACUGGGCGUUAAGUUGCAGGGUAUAGACCCGAAACCCGGUGAUCUAGCCAUGGGCAGGUUGAAGGUUGGGUAACACUAACUGGAGGACCGAACCGACUAAUGUUGAAAAAUUAGCGGAUGACUUGUGGCUGGGGGUGAAAGGCCAAUCAAACCGGGAGAUAGCUGGUUCUCCCCGAAAGCUAUUUAGGUAGCGCCUCGUGAAUUCAUCUCCGGGGGUAGAGCACUGUUUCGGCAAGGGGGUCAUCCCGACUUACCAACCCGAUGCAAACUGCGAAUACCGGAGAAUGUUAUCACGGGAGACACACGGCGGGUGCUAACGUCCGUCGUGAAGAGGGAAACAACCCAGACCGCCAGCUAAGGUCCCAAAGUCAUGGUUAAGUGGGAAACGAUGUGGGAAGGCCCAGACAGCCAGGAUGUUGGCUUAGAAGCAGCCAUCAUUUAAAGAAAGCGUAAUAGCUCACUGGUCGAGUCGGCCUGCGCGGAAGAUGUAACGGGGCUAAACCAUGCACCGAAGCUGCGGCAGCGACACUAUGUGUUGUUGG
RNAcentral lists this ribosomal RNA (807 nucleotides) under Escherichia coli. RNAcentral's name for it is "partial 23S ribosomal RNA". It matches the Rfam family "Bacterial large subunit ribosomal RNA", at positions 419 to 1227 of the family's 2925-position model. The record is from RNAcentral. Lineage: Bacteria; Pseudomonadati; Pseudomonadota; Gammaproteobacteria; Enterobacterales; Enterobacteriaceae.